RNA transcript from Lepidothrix coronata (blue-crowned manakin), 6033 nucleotides. It is a transcript of the gene named BICD cargo adaptor 2, with no coding region annotated. The transcript is spliced from 8 exons. The record is from RefSeq and is a predicted model, not a curated record. Lineage: Eukaryota; Metazoa; Chordata; Aves; Passeriformes; Pipridae.
UGCGCCUUCGCCCCUUCGCCCACCGGCCCCCCCCGCCGCCGACAUGUCGCUGGCCAUGGAGGAGGAGGAGUAUUCCCGGCUGGUGAUGGAGUCGGAGCCCGAGUGGCUGCGGAGCGAGAUCAAGCGGCUCUUCCAGGAGCUGGGCGAGACCACCCGGGAGAAGAUCCAGGCGGCGGAGUACGGGCUCGCCGUGCUGGAGGAGAAGCAGCAGCUGAAGCAGCAGUACGAGGAGCUGGAGCUGGAGUACGAGACCAUCCGCACCGAGAUGGAGCAGCUCAAGGAGGCUUUUGGACAGGCCCAUACCAACCACAAGAAGGUAGCAGCAGAUGGAGAGAGCAGAGAGGAGACCUUGAUCCAGGAAUCAGCUACCAAAGAAGAAUACUACAUGAAGAAGGUUAUGGAGUUGCAGACGGAACUGAAGCAGAUCAGAAAUGUCCUUGCCAACACACAGUCUGAAAACGAACGCCUUAAUUCCGUCUCGCAGGAACUGAAGGAGGUCAACCAGAAUGUGGAGAUCCAAAGGGCCCGUCUGCGAGAUGAUAUUAAGGAAUAUAAGUUUCGAGAAGCACGCUUGCUGCAAGACUAUACUGAGCUAGAAGAGGAAAACAUCUGUCUCCAGAAACAAGUGUCUGUCCUCAAGCAAAAUCAGGUGGAGUUUGAAGGCCUGAAACAUGAAAUCAAAAGGCUUGAAGAGGAAACUGAGUUUCUCAACAGCCAGCUGGAAGAUGCCAUCCGCCUGAAGGAGAUCUCCGAGCGCCAGCUGGAGGAGGCCUUGGAGACGCUGAAGACGGAGCGGGAGCAGAAGAACAACCUUCGGAAGGAGCUGUCCCACUACAUGAACAUCAACGAUUCCAUGUACAACAGCCACCUGAACAUCUCUUUGGAUGGGCUGAAGUUCAGCGACGAAGCCACGGAGCCCAACAAUGAUGAAAUCAUGAACGGCUUUGAGCAGAACUGCCUCAGCAAACUCAGCAACGGCAAGAACAGCACUUCCACGCCCAAGAAGAACGAAAGCUUCCCUCCCGCCCCAAGUCUGGUUUCAGAUCUUCUGAGUGAGUUAAACAUUUCUGAAAUCCAGAAGCUGAAACAGCAGCUUGUGCAGAUGGAAAGAGAAAAGGUAAACUUGUUAACAACGCUACAGGAAUCUCAGAAGCAGCUGGAAAAUACACGGGGGGCCCUCUCAGAGCAGCAUGAGAAAGUUGGCAGGCUCACUGAAAACCUGAAUGCCAUGAAGAAGCUCCAGGCCAGCAAGGAGCAUCAGUCUGCCCUUGACAACGAGAAGGACCGAGACAGCCACGAAGAUGGAGACUAUUAUGAGGUUGACAUCAAUGGGCCAGAGAUCCUGGAGUGCAAGUACAAGGUGGCCAUGGCAGAAACUACUGACCUAAAAGAAGAGCUCAAAAAUUUGAAGGCCAAAUAUAAAGAAUGCGAGUCUAAAUAUGAGGAAGAGAAGAGUAGAUAUGAGACUGAGAACCAAGCUCUCACUGAAAAGAUCACCUCGCUGGAAAAGUCAAGUAGGCAUGACAGAGAACAGGUGGCCAGGCUGGAGAAGGAGCUGAAGAAAGUCAGUGAUGUUGCUGGAGAAACACAGGGCAGCCUCAGCGUGGCCCAAGAUGAACUAGUCACCUUCAGUGAAGAGCUGGCCAAUUUAUACCACCAUGUCUGCAUGUGCAACAAUGAAACUCCAAACAGAGUAAUGCUGGACUACUACAAGGAAGGUAAAGGUGGGCGCAGUAGUCCAGAGGCCAAGGGAAGAAGGUCUCCCAUUCUUCUUUCUAAAGGGCUGUUAACUAUUGAGCUGGGAAAGGCAGAGAAUGGAAGUGGUGAGAGCAGCCCAUCCCCGGUGUCAUCUCUGCCAUCCCCUGUGUCCGAUCCUCGGAAGGAGCCGAUGAACAUUUACAACCUGAUCGCCAUAAUUCGGGACCAGAUCAAACACCUGCAGGCUGCUGUGGACAGAACAACCGAGCUGUCCAGGCAGCGUGUUGCCACUCAAGAACUUGGGCCCGCGGUGGACAAAGACAAGGAAGCCCUCAUGGAAGAAAUCCUGAAGCUGAAGUCCCUGCUGAGCACCAAGAGGGAACAGAUAGCAACCCUGAGAACUGUGCUGAAGGCCAACAAACAGACUGCAGAGGUAGCCCUUGCCAACUUAAAAAGCAAGUAUGAGAAUGAGAAAGCGAUGGUUACAGAGACCAUGAUGAAGCUGCGAAAUGAGCUGAAGGCUUUGAAAGAAGACGCCGCCACCUUCUCUUCCCUGAGAGCAAUGUUUGCUACAAGAUGUGACGAGUACGUCACGCAGCUGGAUGAAAUGCAGCGGCAACUCGCGGCGGCCGAGGACGAAAAGAAGACUCUGAACUCCUUGCUCCGGAUGGCCAUCCAGCAGAAACUGGCCUUGACCCAGCGCCUGGAGCACUUGGAGCUGGACCACGAGCAGUCCAAAAGGGUGCGCACAAAAUCCGCCUCCAAAGCCAAGGGCAGUAACCCCAGCGUAAGUCACGUUCGGUCCUGCGGAGACAGGUCUGAAGGGUCUGUCCUGAACAACCAGGUGUUCUAUAGUGAGAAAUAUAAAAUCUAUUGUGACUAGGACAGGUGUCUAGAAAAAAAUAAAAUCGUAUUCUGCAUCUUAUUUUAUGCUGUAACCGUCAGCAUAAAUCCCCACUAUCUAACGUCGCAGUGAGUUGUACUAGUAUGUUGUGGAACCAGGUAAUACUGAUUGUAUUAUGGUGUUCUUAACUGUAACUAAUGCAUAAGUAUGGGGAUGCUAUUAACAAGUUAAUAGUGGAAAGGAACUAGAUUUUUCCACAAUUAACAUGUCUGGGUUUUGCUGUUUAUGGUAAGUGUUAAGAGUACACCUGAUAGAGUAUAUCUGGUGUUACUAAUUGUAGUUUGUAUAGCACAAAUGUGAUCCUUUCUCCAGGGUUGCAGCAUACUUCAGUAAAUGCUUUCACAGGCAGAAACAAACAGAAAACCUUCCUUGUUAUUGUGGCUUAUGAAGUGGUGAAAAGCAAACAUCAAAAUUAGAGAGUAUUUGGAAACUGGAAUCAAACAAUUUGCCUGUUGUGAGAAAUGUUAAAAACUUGCUGUUGUAUCACCACUGACCAAAGUCCUAAAGCUUUUAUAGGCUAUAAAAGCUAGAAAAACACUUGGUAGGGUACAUUAUUUAUGCCCUGUUUCCCUCUCUUCAGAGGGAUAACCAGAAGAAACUUGCACAUUUAUAUUAAAAAUAUGCAAUAUUUUCCCCAUCUGAUAUAAAACUUAAAAGGUUUAAGAUUUGGGAUCCUACCUGGUACACAGUUCCACUUGAAGAAAUUAUGUCUUGAAAGGACCUUUGUGGUUUCAUGUUGCUCUUCACAAGCGUAACACUUUGGAAAGAACCUGUUUGAGGUAUCACUGUAGCCACACGACAUGUAUGUGUAGAAUUGAUGUGACUAUGGUCUAGCGUUGGUGGUCACAAACAGCUUUCAGUAUUAACCUAAAUAGGUAACAUUGCAGAGCUCUGAUCAUUUUUUUAAGGUACACAGAAGAUUUUGCAUUCUGUAUGCAAGCACGUGUUUCACAGGGCUCUACAUUAGAGGCACGGGAAAUUGAACCAGAUCAUCCUGCUGAUAAUGAUUUAUGAAGUAGCUUAGUAUACAUAUUAAUCUUUAAAAACAAAUAAACCUUUGUCUGCUUUUGAACUGCUAAGGGGCCUUUUUAGCCACUUAAUUACAAGAAGUUUGAUAGUCUAAAAGUGUACUUCGUAAUUGGUGCCUACAUAAGAGAAAAAAAGAUUGAAAACGUUGCUUCUAAAAUUGUGGAAAAUUUGUGGAGCGCCCUGCAAGGCACAGAUCUUUGUUUAACCCGGAGUUUCAAAGUGCCUAGCCUCAGACUUUUAUUUUAAUGUAAAGCCCUGUUCAUUUUGUACUCUGUUUCAAAGACUUUUGUAUGCCUGUAGUGUUACUAAAAAGCGGUCCCUAAAGCCGUUCUAACCCUCUGCUGUGGUUCUGCUCCUCUCCCCCGGCCCUGUAGAUGCUCAGCCCUUGCUCCCGCGCUGCCUCUGCCUAGUCAGGAGACAUCCCAGUGCUAACAGAAGCUGUAGAGUAGUCCCUGGAGAAGGCCUUUCCAACAGUGCAACAGCAUUUCUUAGCCUUCCUCACUCUGGUUCAAAGUGGUGGCCCAUUGCAGAGUGGAAACCACUGACCCGAUCCUAACUUUUGAAAACACCUUUUCCUAUAUACUACCUGAAACCUUCCCUUUCUGCCUGAAGCUAUGAAAAAACAAGCUUUACUUAUAAGUGCUGCUGCAGUAAGAAACCUUACAAGUGCUGAAGAAACCUACUUCAAAUGUAACGCUCACCAUGUUAGUGUGUGCUCUCCUAGAAAUGUCGGAUGGGGGAAUUUAUUUCAUUGCAGAUGCUCUUUUUUUUUUUUUACCUGAUUGUUAAACCUGUGCACUUUUGAUAUUUUUCUUUAGCUUCUUUAAUUCCUUAUGUAGAAGAGUUUAUAUAAAUGCAGUGGUUUUGUGCUCAUAGUCUCUCUCCAAUUUGGAACUUGUGAUUUAUGAAUUAUAUAUCAGCAUGUGGCAGAGAUUUUGGGGGGGCUCUAGAUUGUGAUUAGAAAAGAGUUUCAACAAAAAACAGGAGCUCUGCUAAACUAUGUGCUGUGCUUCAGCAUCUUUUUUUAUUAUUAUAAAAUGUUAAGCUUUAUAUGUUUAAAUUACUGAUUUUCUUUUUAACUGCCAUGUUCAUUAAGAAAUCCAGGGUAUUCAAAUUCUGGGGUUUUUUUCAUAUUGUAUUAUUAUUCUUAGGAAUAGUUCAAUGUAACAAGAAGAAAACUUGACUUUGUUCUGGUUAAAACAGUAAUAGGCACUUGAAAAAUAUUAAAUAAGUAGUAUUACCUAUAAAUUCCAGAAUUCCUGGGUUUUAGGAAGUCGAAGUAUUAUUGAUUAACAGAAUUUUAUACAACUAUACCAGUGAAAUUCCAAAUUGGAAUUGUUGUGUUACUUUUUCAUUUUAUUGUGCCAAAUUGUGGUACAUUUAGAAAGAAAAAUUCUAAAGUGGUCAAUGAUAGGGUGUUAUCUAUCAGCGCCUUUCUGUCACUCAUUAUUGCCAGUAGUGCCUUUGAUCAUUUGAAGGGAGACUCUUAGAGUAGCGUUCGGCCAAGUCCUGUCCCUUAGGAGGAGUGAAAUGGCUGGUGUUGGAAUUUACUGAAGAUGUGGAGCAAUAAGUGCAAAGUGAACUCCCCUUUCGCACAUUUUUAACGGUAGUCUUACUUAGAGAGAUUAUAUAUUCGAGGAAUUGUAAAAAAUUCUGUUAGUCAAUGAUAUUUCAUCGUGCAAAUUCAGGGGUAGAGAGAAACAAACAAACAAACAAACAGAAACCACAAAGCUGAACGAGCCCGACUGCAGGUCGGGAACCAAAUGGCCUCACGUUGGACAGCUGAGUGAUGCAGGGGCACAGCCCCGGGUGGAACCUCGCGCUCCCGGGCGCUGCGCGGGCGUGGGCGGCACAUCCACAUCUCCUCUUGCAUGUCGGACCCGAGUGUGAUUUCAGCAAACAGAAACGCUGGGGAAGCGCCUCAACCAGCCCUGCUGGGCUCGUUGAGGCUCCUGGGAAUGAUUAAAUUGGUACUUGGGCUGGAGGGGGGAGGAGUUCUCCCGCUCCUCAAAAAAAAAAAAAAUCAAAAAGGACAAAUUGAACCAAUAUUGCUGGCGCGGAAGAGGUUUCUGUUUGCUGGAAAAAGCAUUAUUAUUCCUAGAUGUGGGGACUUAUAUUUCCAUCUUCUGUUACAGUAUUGAUUCAUAAGAAAUAUUGUUGCAUUUAAAAUUACUACAUUUGUAUGUGGGUAUUUAUUUGAAAUGAUGUCAAAGUACUGUAUUAUGUUCUAUGUGCAUUACCUUUUAGUGGUGGGUUGGUCUCCAUUUAACGUCGUAUGCAUGUAAUCUUGCCAAGUAACCUUUACACAGAUCUGAGUAAAAAAAAAAAAAAGAGAGAAAAUGUGAGAACUUCUUAAAAGGAUAACUGCGUGUUAAUUGGAUAACCUUAGGAGGGGGUAGAGG